UACGUAGGGGGCAAGCGUUGUCCGGAUUUAUUGGGCGUAAAGAGCGUGUAGGCGGCCAUACAGGUCAGCUGUGAAAACUCGAGGCUCAACCUCGAGACGUCGGUUGAAACCGUAUGGCUAGAGUCCGGAAGAGGAGAGUGGAAUUCCUGGUGUAGCGGUGAAAUGCGCAGAUAUCAGGGGGAACACCGGUGGCGAAGGCGGUUCUCUGGGCCUUACCUGACGCUGAGGAGCGAAAGCGUGGGGAGCAAACGGG
RNAcentral lists this ribosomal RNA (253 nucleotides) under uncultured bacterium. RNAcentral's name for it is "partial 16S ribosomal RNA". It matches the Rfam family "Bacterial small subunit ribosomal RNA", at positions 524 to 776 of the family's 1533-position model. The record is from RNAcentral.